GUGGGGAAUAUUGGACAAUGGGCGAAAGCCUGAUCCAGCCACGCCGCGUGAGUGAUGAAGGCCCUCGGGUCGUAAAGCUCUGUGGGGAAGGACGAAAAUGCACGAGUUAAUAGCUCGUGUCCUGACGGUACUUCCUUAGCAAGCACCGGCUAACUCCGUGCCAGCAGCCGCGGUAAUACGGGGGGUGCAAACGUUGCUCGGAAUUAUUGGGCGUAAAGCGCGCGUAGGCGGUCCGAUAAGUCGGAUGUGAAAGCCCUCGGCUUAACCGGGGAAGUGCACUCGAAACUGUCGGACUUGAGUAUGGGAGAGGGUUGCGGAAUUCCCGGUGUAGAGGUGAAAUUCGUAGAUAUCGGGAGGAACACCAGAGGCGAAGGCGGCAACCUGGACCAAUACUGACGCUGAGGUGCGAAAGCGUGGGGAGCAAACAGG
RNAcentral lists this ribosomal RNA (429 nucleotides) under uncultured bacterium. RNAcentral describes it as "bacterial SSU rRNA". It matches the Rfam family "Bacterial small subunit ribosomal RNA", at positions 354 to 776 of the family's 1533-position model. The record is from RNAcentral.